GAUGAAUGCUGGCGGCGUGCCUAACACACGCAAGUCGAGCGGCAGCGCGAGUAGUUUACUACUUGGCGGCGAGCGGCGGACGGCUGAGUAACGCGUGGGAACGUGCCCCAAAGUGAGGGAUAACUGCCCGAAAGGGUGGCUAAUACCGCAUAUGAUCUUCGGAUUAAAGGAUUUAUCCGCUUUGGGAGCGGCCCGCGUUAGAUUAGGUAGUAGGUGAGGUAAUGGCUCACCAAGCCGACGAUCUAUAGCUGGUCUGAGAGGAUGAUCAGCCAGACUGGAACUGAGACACGGUCCAGACUCCUACGGGAGGCAGCAGUGAGGAAUCUUCCACAAUGGGCGAAAGCCUGAUGGAGCAACGCCGCGUGAAGGAUGAAGGCCCUAGGGUUGUAAACUUCUUUUAUAAGUGAAGAAUAUGACGGUAACUUAUGAAUAAGCACCGGCUAACUACGUGCCAGCAGCCGCGGUAA
Molecule: ribosomal RNA, 467 nt
Filed under: uncultured bacterium
Lineage: Bacteria
Description: partial 16S ribosomal RNA
Rfam family: Bacterial small subunit ribosomal RNA
Source: RNAcentral